Molecule: ribosomal RNA, 460 nt
Filed under: uncultured bacterium
Lineage: Bacteria
Description: partial 16S ribosomal RNA
Rfam family: Bacterial small subunit ribosomal RNA
Source: RNAcentral
CCUACGGGUGGCAGCAGUGAGGAAUAUUGGUCAAUGGGCUUACGCCUGAACCAGCCAAGUCGCGUGAGGGAAGACUGCCCUAUGGGUUGUAAACCUCUUUUGUCAGGGAGCAAUUGGCGCUACGUGUAGCGUUAUCGAGAGUACCUGACGAAAACGCAUCGGCUAUCUCCGUGCCAGCGGCCGCGGUAAUCCGGAGGAUGCGAGCGUUAUCCGGAUUUAUUGGGUUUAAAGGGUACGUAGGCGGAAUGCCAAGUCAGCGGGAAAAUCGCGGGGCUCAACCUCGCUCCGCCGUUGAAACUGGCGUUCUUGAGUGGGCGAGAAGUAUGCGGAAUGCGUGGUGUAGCGGUGAAAUGCAUAGAUAUCACGCAGAAUUCCGAUUGCGAAGGCAGCAUACCGGCGCCCAACUGACGCUGAAGCACGAAAGCGUGGGUAUCGAACAGGAUUAGAUACCCGUGUAGUC